This 709-nucleotide ribosomal RNA is filed under the name Salmonella enterica subsp. enterica serovar Thompson. Its description in RNAcentral is "partial 23S ribosomal RNA". It matches the Rfam family "Bacterial large subunit ribosomal RNA", at positions 2222 to 2925 of the family's 2925-position model. RNAcentral also lists the same sequence under 5 other names. The record is from RNAcentral. Lineage: Bacteria; Pseudomonadati; Pseudomonadota; Gammaproteobacteria; Enterobacterales; Enterobacteriaceae.
CUAACGUGGACCCGUAAUCCGGGUUGCGGACAGUGUCUGGUGGGUAGUUUGACUGGGGCGGUCUCCUCCUAAAGAGUAACGGAGGAGCACGAAGGUUGGCUAAUCCUGGUCGGACAUCAGGAGGUUAGUGCAAUGGCAUAAGCCAGCUUGACUGCGAGCGUGACGGCGCGAGCAGGUGCGAAAGCAGGUCAUAGUGAUCCGGUGGUUCUGAAUGGAAGGGCCAUCGCUCAACGGAUAAAAGGUACUCCGGGGAUAACAGGCUGAUACCGCCCAAGAGUUCAUAUCGACGGCGGUGUUUGGCACCUCGAUGUCGGCUCAUCACAUCCUGGGGCUGAAGUAGGUCCCAAGGGUAUGGCUGUUCGCCAUUUAAAGUGGUACGCGAGCUGGGUUUAGAACGUCGUGAGACAGUUCGGUCCCUAUCUGCCGUGGGCGCUGGAGAACUGAGGGGGGCUGCUCCUAGUACGAGAGGACCGGAGUGGACGCAUCACUGGUGUUCGGGUUGUCAUGCCAAUGGCACUGCCCGGUAGCUAAAUGCGGAAGAGAUAAGUGCUGAAAGCAUCUAAGCACGAAACUUGCCCCGAGAUGAGUUCUCCCUGAGACUUAGAGUCUCCUGAAGGAACGUUGAAGACGACGACGUUGAUAGGCCGGGUGUGUAAGCGCAGCGAUGCGUUGAGCUAACCGGUACUAAUGAACCGUGAGGCUUAACCUU